RNAcentral lists this ribosomal RNA (253 nucleotides) under uncultured bacterium. RNAcentral describes it as "partial 16S ribosomal RNA". It matches the Rfam family "Bacterial small subunit ribosomal RNA", at positions 524 to 776 of the family's 1533-position model. The record is from RNAcentral.
UACGGAGGAUUCGAGCGUUAUCCGGAAUCAUUGGGUUUAAAGGGUUCGUAGGCGGGUUUGUAAGUCAGGGGUGAAAGUUUACGGCUCAACCGUGAAAUUGCCUUUGAUACUGCAGAUCUUGAAUGUUUGUGAAGUAACUAGAAUAUGUGGUGUAGCGGUGAAAUGCAUAGAUAUCACAUGGAAUACCGAUUGCGAAGGCAGGUUACUAACAGAUUAUUGACGCUGAUGGACGAAAGCGUGGGUAGCGAACAGG